RNAcentral lists this long non-coding RNA (388 nucleotides) under Cucumis sativus (cucumber). Its description in RNAcentral is "long non-coding RNA (CSAT_LNC000044)". The record is from RNAcentral. Lineage: Eukaryota; Viridiplantae; Streptophyta; Magnoliopsida; Cucurbitales; Cucurbitaceae.
UAUUACUAGUGAUGAUGUUGGAACUCAUUCUCCAAAGACUGAUCUUCCUGGGACAGCCAAGAUACCAAGUCAGUCGUUGUCACGGUCGUCAUCGUCCUCAUCUGAAUCUUCCCUGCACGAUCAUGUGAUUGAACUCCCAAAGCCUGUGGAGCCAGAUUCGAAAAAAAGACUACCAGGUCUUAAACAUGGUGAAACCAAUAAUGUUGAAAGUAGGAAAAGUAUACAAACUUGUUCUUCCACCUCGUCUUCCUCGUCAUCCGAAUCUGAAUCUAAACAUAAACUUCAAAAGGGUAGAGAUGUUGAUAAUUUAUUGUCGAAAAAUCCUAGCUCUCCAAGCGUGGUAAAGGACAACAGGUUGGUUACAGAUUUCAGUGAUGAUGAUGUUCCC